Molecule: ribosomal RNA, 577 nt
Filed under: uncultured cyanobacterium
Lineage: Bacteria; Bacillati; Cyanobacteriota
Description: bacterial SSU rRNA
Rfam family: Bacterial small subunit ribosomal RNA
Source: RNAcentral
GGAAACGACUGCUAAUACCCAAUAUGCAGGAAUGUGAAAUAAAUUUUGCCUGAAGAGGAGCUCGCGUCCGAUUAGUUAGUUGGUGAGGUAAGAGCUUACCAAGGCGGCGAUCGGUAGCUGGUCUGAGAGGAUGAGCAGCCACACUGGGACUGAGACACGGCCCAGACUCCUACGGGAGGCAGCAGUGGGGAAUUUUCCGCAAUGGGCGAAAGCCUGACGGAGCAAUACCGCGUGAGGGAGGAAGGCUUUUGGGUUGUAAACCUCUUUUUUUAAGGAAGAAGAAAGUGACGGUACUUAAAGAAUCAGCAUCGGCUAACUCCGUGCCAGCAGCCGCGGUAAUACGGAGGAUGCAAGCGUUAUCCGGAAUCAUUGGGCGUAAAGCGUCCGCAGGUGGCGAUUCAAGUCUGCUGUUAAAGACAGAAGCUUAACUUCUGAAAAGCGGUGGAAACUGGAUAGCUAGAGUACGGUAGGGGUUGAGGGAAUUCCCAGUGUAGCGGUGAAAUGCGUAGAUAUUGGGAAGAACACCAGUGGCGAAGGCGCUCAACUGGGCCGUAACUGACACUCAGGGACGAAAGCU